GAGGAGUCAGCUCAGGAGUGGCAGAGCUGAGCUUCUAACGCAGAGCUGACCUUCUUGUCACCUUGAGGAAACCACUGGCUCCCCCAUCGACCCCGAGAAGGGGCGGCAGGACACACCUCAUGCCCCCCAGAGCCCACGGUCGGGCUUCCCAUCGCCACCGUUUUUGCGUACCCGGUGGGGACUCGUCCUCGAAAGCCAUGCCGAAAUGAACUGGUGAAGUUGACCUCAUCUUUCCUGUGGGGAAAAUAUACUUAAAAAACUAAAAUCCAAGGCAUGGAAGAUAAUAACAUGAAGCUCACUACAGAUCGCAGAAGCUAUUCUGAAGCUAUUCUGCUUGUUAUUUAAAAUCUAAUCCUGUUUCAGUUAGUUCUGCCCCAGUAUAGACUCUGAAGCAAGAUACUCUUCAACGUCAGUUGAGCACACGCUGAGUCCCAGAAUUAGGGGUAAGACAUUUGUAUACAUUACCUUCUAUUAUUUGUUUAUUUGUUUAACGAAUACUCGUGCAGUACUUGCCAUGUACCAAGCAAUAUUCUAGGUGCUUCGAAGAGCAUUAUCUCGUCUAACAUUCGCAACAGUACCAAGAGGGAGGUGCGUGACAGUCCUCAGUUUUCAGAUGAAGAACUGAGGCUCAGCCGUGCAGUAACUCCUGCUGAGCUCCCACAGCCAGCGUUUGCAGCCACACCUCUGCCUCCACAGUCCCUAAGCCCCCCCGCACAAGGGCGCUCAGGGCUCCCUCCGAGGCUGCCUUCUUCCUACGGGCUACUCUUAGUCUUCUCACAGCCGUUACACGGUGGGACUCAAACCCCGGUCUGUCUGCAUGGGGGUCCACGCUCUAACCAUCGUGCAUUUCCAAGCCAUGGCUCAGGGAGGGAAAUGGGCAUCAAAGAGUUAAAGGACUUUGGUCAGAUCAUGCCUUGGGCGUCUUAGGAAAUCCUCAGCGUGCUCACCACCCCAUCCAUUAAUGGGAGGACACGCACUGGUGGAGUCCAAAAAGGAACAGAGAUUCCCCUGACGUGGCUUGCUUAUUUUUCAUCCUUCAAAGGACAGCUGUGGUGCAGAUACCAACCAGUAUCAGAUAAAAGUGCAGGAGCUGCAUCUAAUCAGCCAUCUCUACCCAUGUGGCUGCUUAAUAGCCACCUGCCCUACGAGUCCAUCAUUACAAGCAAGUCUGCUGCUCAGCACCGACCCCGCCCUUGGUCGUUAGUUCCAAGAGUCACAUGAUGACCAGCGAGUCCAUCUGCACAGCCCCGUGGAUCUUGGUCUGGGACAUCCCUUCCUCCUGAUGAUGGAGAGGCAGGACCGCGGAGGCUCGGUGACCUGCCUCCACUCAACAUGAUCAUCAGCAGGGAGACCUGAAUUCCACUCAGUCUUGCAAUGCACCCUUCUCCCAACAUGGCGAUGGCACUCCUUUUUUUCCUAAAUCAACGUUAUUGAUACAUAAUCUCCAAACAAUAAAG
This 1457-nucleotide long non-coding RNA is filed under the name Equus caballus (horse). RNAcentral describes it as "lncRNA (ENSECAG00000047097.1)". Lineage: Eukaryota; Metazoa; Chordata; Mammalia; Perissodactyla; Equidae. The record is from RNAcentral.